RNAcentral lists this non-coding RNA (174 nucleotides) under Fusobacterium ulcerans. Its description in RNAcentral is "Lysine riboswitch". It matches the Rfam family "Lysine riboswitch aptamer". From Rfam's summary of the family: Riboswitches are metabolite binding domains within certain messenger RNAs that serve as precision sensors for their corresponding targets. Allosteric rearrangement of mRNA structure is mediated by ligand binding, and this results in modulation of gene expression. This family includes riboswitches that sense lysine in a number of genes involved in lysine metabolism, including lysC. The record is from RNAcentral. Lineage: Bacteria; Fusobacteriati; Fusobacteriota; Fusobacteriia; Fusobacteriales; Fusobacteriaceae.
UUAGAUAGAGGCGCAAAAGACAUCAGUAUAAUCAUUUACAUCUGGCAGAUAUUAAAAAUGAUUUGAAAGGGGAUUUUGCCGAAAUAGAAAUAUAAAUGCCAAAGUAUUUUUAUUGGGAGUAUGGAUAACAUCUAUACUACUGUCAUUAUUUUUCAUUAAUGGAGUGCUGUCUUU